RNAcentral lists this long non-coding RNA (2348 nucleotides) under Salmo salar (Atlantic salmon). RNAcentral's name for it is "lncRNA (ENSSSAG00000085894.1)". The record is from RNAcentral. Lineage: Eukaryota; Metazoa; Chordata; Actinopteri; Salmoniformes; Salmonidae.
GCUGGGCCUUUUGGGUUGUCCUGCUGAAAUGGGAUAGCAUGCAUAUUUCCUCUCACUCCAGGCUGUUCACAUUUGAGGCAUCCAAUUGACCAUUAAUUGCACAAUAUGGGAGACCAAUGCCCUUGCAGGCAAGUCACACGUUCCAGCGAUGGUCAAAACUUUGCAUAGAAAAGACUGAGGUCUUGCCGUAUCUAAAAAAAAACACCAUUUUCUUCAAGUGUUGCUUAAAGGUUUCAGGAAUGUCAACUGUAACAGCCAUCUGAAGGAGUAGACCAAGGCGCAGCGUGGUUAGUGCUCAUCAUGUAUUUAUUUUGAUCUGAACACUGAAACAAAGAAACCAAUAACGACAGCCAAACAGUUCUGUCAGGUAAGUAAUACAAAACAGAAAUUAACCACCCACAAAACACAAUGAGAAAACCCCUACAUAAAUAUGGUCUCUAAUCAGAGGCAAUGAGAUUCAGCUGCCUCCAAUUAAAGACCAACCCCAAACAAUUCCAACAUAGAAACAGAUAAACUAGAUAUUUAAACAUAGAAAUACAAUAACAUAGAUCAACCCAAAACAAACACCCCCUGCCACGCCUUGACCAAACUAUCAUAACAAAAUGACCCCUUACUGGUCAGGACGUGACAGUACCCCCCCAAAUGUGCAGACACCGAAAUGCACAUCAAACAAAAAAACCACAAAACAACCCCAAACCUAAAGGGAGGGAAGGGAGGGUGGCCACCGUCAAUGACGGUUCUUGUGCUACACCACCCCCCCUUCCCAAUCCUCCCCCCUAAGGAGGUGGCUCAGGAGCAGGACGCAGACCCCACUCCACCACUGGCUCACCCCACUCCACCACUGGCUCACCCCACUUUGGUGGCGCCUCUAGACCUGGGUCCCUCGCCGUCGGACAGGCGGGCGACUCUGGAAGCGCCGGACAGGCGGGCGACUCUGGAAGCGCCGGACAGGCGGGCGACAUGCAGGAGGCCUGGCUCUGGGAGCAGGCACAGGAUAGACCGGGUCUUGAAGACGCACUGGAGGUCUGGAGCGCACGACCUGCACAACCCGUCCUGGCUGAGUUGUUACUGUAGCCCGGCACGGGCGGAGUGCUGCCACAGGGCGAACUGGGCUGUGCUGAGGAAUGAUGGCUGCCGUGCGUAGAGCAGGCGCGGGGUAGCCUGGGCCUAGGAGAUGCACUUGUAGGCCAGAUGUGCUGCACCGGCGCACUUCUCCCUGGCUGGAUGCCCACUCUAGCACGGCACUUGCGGGGGGCUGGUAUCGACCGCACCGGACUGUGCGUGCGGAUGGGUGAGACCGUGCGCACUUCCGAAUAGCACGGUGCUCUCCACGCCAAACGCAAUUCUGGGGCUGCCGCUCAGGCUUCCUUGCCAGCCGUGUUCCCUCAUAACAUUGCCGGUGGGCCUUCCUUCCUGCUGCCUCCACUCUCCUGGCUGCCUCCACCUGUUCCCAUGGGAGGCGAUCCCUUCCGGCCAGGAUCUCUUCCCACGUGUAGGAUCCCUUGCCAUCCAGGAUGUCCUCCCAUGUCCAGUCCUCUUUUCCACGCUGCUUGGUCUUCUUGUGGUGGGUGGUUCUGUAACGGCCGUCUGAAGGAGUAGACCUAGGCGCAGCGUGGUUAGUGCUCAUCAUGUAUUUAUUUUGAUCUUAACACUGAAACCAAUAACGACAGCCAAACAAUAACCACCCACAAAACACAAUGAGAAAACCCCUACAUAAAUAUGGUCUCUAAUCAGAGGCAAUGAGAUUCAGCUGCCUCCAAUUAGAGACCAACCCCAAACAAUUCCAACAUAGAAACAGAAAAACUAGAUAUUUAAACAUAGAAUAACAUAGAUCAACCCCCCCAAAAAAACACACAAAACAAACACCCCCUGCCACGGCCUGACCAAACUAUCAUAACAAAAUGACCCCUUACUGGUCAGGACGUGACAUCAACAUGGAAGGUUUGAGGUCCCAAAACCAAAGUCCAGCAAAAAUCAUAUGUUCCCUUUUAGUGUGUUCACUGUAGCUCAACUCAUUAAUGAUACAAUAAAAUGGCCAGACUGAGAAUUUUGAUGAUUUAAAAAUAGGCACUCCAUCAGUGUUCCAGGUAAAUUAUAUAUUUCUAGGAUCGCUUAAUGGCCCACCAACAGUUGCAUAUUUUCUGUACACCUCUCCAUCAUAUAUAUCCUCAAUGUUAUCUCUUCUCUUUUUCUGCCUGUUGAAUCUGAAAUUCAGUUUUUCUUUGAAACCCUCUUUUGCAAACAGCAUCUGCAGUUGCUCCUCGAUAGAAGCUCCAAUAAAAGAUGUUGCUGUCACGUCCUGACCCUAGUAAGAUGUCAUUUUCUAUAGUAGAGUAGGUCAGGGCGUG